AGGAGAGAUGGUUUAAAGGGGUGCGAGAGCUUCUUUCUUGUACCUGCUCUAGGAUGGGACUGCGGCCGAUCAGGCUGUUGGUGGGGUAAUGGCCCACCAAACCUGUAACCGGUACGGGCCUUGAGAGAGGGGGCCCGGAGAUGGACACUGAGAGAAGGGUCCAGGUCCUACGGGGCGCAGCAGGCGCGAAACCUUCGCAAUGCGCGAAAGCGUGACGAGGUUAAUCCGAGUGGUCCCCGCUGAGGGGAUCUUUUCUUGGCUCUAAAACGGCCAGGGAAUAAGGGGAGGGCAAGUCUGGUGUCAGCCGCCGCGGUAAUACCAGCUCCUCGAGUGGUCGGGGCGAUUAUUGGGCCUAAAGCAUCCGUAGCCUGUUCCGUAGGUCUUCUGUUAAAUCCAACGGCUUAACCGUUGGCCUGCAGAAGAUACCGCGGGACUAGGAGGCGGGAGAGGUGGACGGUACUCUACGUGUAGGGGUAAAAUCCUUUGAUCCGUAGAAGACCACCAGUGGCGAAGGCGGUCCACCAGAACGCGCUCGACGGUGAGGGAUGAAAGCUGGGGGAGCGAACCGGAUUAGAUACCCGGGUAGUCCCAGCCGUAAACGAUGCGAGCUAGAUGAUCCAAUCGCAAAUCGCGAUUGGAGUGUCGCAGGGAAGCCGUUA
RNAcentral lists this ribosomal RNA (659 nucleotides) under uncultured archaeon. RNAcentral's name for it is "bacterial SSU rRNA". It matches the Rfam family "Archaeal small subunit ribosomal RNA", at positions 175 to 817 of the family's 1478-position model. The record is from RNAcentral.